This is a non-coding RNA of Paramuricea clavata, 2525 nucleotides long. The record is from the annotation of a GenBank genome assembly. NCBI's taxonomy places the organism in Eukaryota, Metazoa, Cnidaria, Anthozoa, Malacalcyonacea, Plexauridae.
UAAUUAGUUGCUGGGGCACCUGUGCCAGCAACUAUAGGUUUCGGGUGAAUUUGGUCUCCUUCUCCGUCUCCUUCUCCAUGGAUAGUCGCAAAAUGGAAAUUGCCACUGAUCUAUAUACGAAGCAAUACGUGCAUACAUUUUCGCUAUUUUAACGGUCUUAUAGUCUUCGUAAGUGUAUAAAGUGAACGUCAAAUUGUUCUUUUAAUCACGCUUUUUCUUCUGGGGGCUUUUUGAAAGAAAUCCAUCAAGAAUAUACAGAAUUAUGUCGACGUUUCACUAUCGAGGAGUGGAGUAGAUUCCGAGGUGGAUUAACUGACAAUAUUAAACUGUGUUAUUUAUUCGUCGAACCGUUAUUUCUGAACGUUUAUAUUUUUGUUUUGUGAAGUUUUACAUCUAUAUACGCUUUAAUAUGGCUUAUAGUCCUCGUUGCUCCCUGCAUAAAACUCGUAUUUGUUUACAUGUAUUGGAACUGUCAUAUUUGCAUGCUAGCUCUAUUUACAAGAAGGCUCAAAUGUUGGCUGUUUUGAAGUGACACACGAGGUACGUGACACACAAUCUUGGAUUGGUAUUUCUUAGAUAGAUAGAUGUUUUUAAUUGAUAAACCUUGCAGCCAUUGGCUGUAUUAUGUUAACAUUAAUACAUAAGGUCCACUUAUUAUUCUGGUUAUAGGACUGAACUAUUAGCUUAAAAACUCACUUGUUCAUGUUGUAAACUGCAUCAUGUAUUCAUGAUUUUUACUUGCAACUCAUUUGCUUAUUUAAUAGAUUGCAAACAGGGGUCCCCUUGUUAAAAAUUUCAUGUCAAUUGUGAAGAUUAACCUCGCAAUAUUUUUGCAGAUUGCAAAAUUUAUAAUCUAUCAGUAAUCUGUACCUUAAUUACUAUGAUCUAACCAUUUGAUGAUAUUUAUGUAGCUCUAACAUGUAAUAGCUUCAAUAUUUUGGAGUGUAUUAUUUGAUGUUAAGCCCUUUAGUUAAAAAUCACCGAUUGAAGAAUUGCUAGAACCAAAAGUGAAUACUGGAACUAUCCAUAUUUACCAUGUUGCACCCUCAAUGCCUGGUUACCCCACAUCUUGUCAUCCCCCCCCCCUCUUUGAGGGCCCUCUUUGUUAGCGAUUCAGUUCUACACCACUGACUGCUAAAUAUAAAGUUAUGUAAAACUUUAAUGCCAAUAGCUCAGGGAGUGCAGUGCUGUGGGAAGCUCUUUUUGAUUGGGGAACUGAAAGCAAUGGCCAAAGGCCCGAGGAAAGUUUUAAAUUUAGAGUCUCUGAAAUGCCAUUUCCUUAACUUUGGGAAAGAUUUGACAGAAUUCCGAUGGUCAGAAAACAGCAUUUUAGUAUGUCAAAAUUUACAAUUUCAAACAGCCCCCCCCUGGUUGCUACGGCCCUGGGGUGAAAUAUAACCACGGUCUAUCGCAUGCAUCAGUUAGGUACAAAAAGCUAAAUUCUGCACCAAUAGUCCAAUAUAUGCGAUUGUCCAUAUCAUAUAACCCUCUAAGUGGCAAUGUACCCUCAUGUGACCUACUUUAUUAUUUUACUGUGUCUAAUGCCAAGGAUUUUACUCAUCAGGGAGAGAGUGCUGUCACUCAAUGGGUUAAUUCACAAACGACUCCUUAGUCCUUAACUGUCUGAUAAACAAUUUUUGUGUUUUAAAAUUUGUUAUAAACAAGUUAAAAUAAAAAUACACAAAUCUGUAUUUAUCCUCAAAUAUGAAUAAGGGGUUGUUAUAGCCCAAGGCCCAAAUAUGUACACUUGUGCCACAGUGCCAGCACAAAAUGGGCUAUUUUGGCUUUCAAUUCUGCUGGAAUGAGGUGAUAAAUUUUUAGCUUUGGAAUUCCUCAGGGAUAAGCAAAUUUCUGUGUGGAAUUUUUUGGGGGUAAUCUGGUAAUGGCUAUUUUGAAUGAGAUUUUCUCAGAGGUCAAAUGUAAAAAUUGAAAUUCUUCCAGGGUCUCUCUUCAUGGGUAUUAACAGGAAUUCUUCAGUGGAUCUCUUUUAUGACCUGUAGGAAUUCUUCAGUUCAGCGAUAUGAUGAACUUUUGUGCAACGGACCUGAUUGUGAGAUUCCACUUCAUUGAAAGGACGACCUUAGGACGGACCAUUAGAAAAGUGAUGGGGGGGGGGCAAAACCAAAAAAAAAAAUUAUUCCCAGGAAAAAAUUAGGGAAAAAAAUCUUCCCAGGCAUAGUGCAAAAAAAAUUCCUUUCCUGGAAGAUAGGCCUAUAAAUUUUAAUAAAAAAAAUAUAUUUCCAGCCAUCAAGUGAGAAAAAAAAAUUUCUAUAGGUGUACAAAAAAAAAAUCUUGCCUCUUAAAACAUCCCCCCCCCCAUCACUUUUCUAAUGGUCCGUCCCUUAGUUAAUUAAAUUUGCUGUAUACAUUAUGUCGCAACGUGUCACUAUUUAUAUAAUAAACUUAUGUACAAUUACAAAUCAAGCCCACAAAUCGUUGAAUAUACUCUUACCGCUCGUUGCAAAUCACGCAGGCGCCUAUUUAAAAAGCCCCAGCAACUUAACGCUCGAGAGAGCGUCUUGUUU